RNAcentral lists this ribosomal RNA (465 nucleotides) under Vreelandella stevensii. RNAcentral describes it as "partial 16S ribosomal RNA". It matches the Rfam family "Bacterial small subunit ribosomal RNA", at positions 338 to 795 of the family's 1533-position model. Lineage: Bacteria; Pseudomonadati; Pseudomonadota; Gammaproteobacteria; Oceanospirillales; Halomonadaceae. The record is from RNAcentral.
CCUACGGGAGGCUGCAGUGGGGAAUAUUGGACAAUGGGCGAAAGCCUGAUCCAGCCAUGCCGCGUGUGUGAAGAAGGCCUUCGGGUUGUAAAGCACUUUCAGUGGGGAAGAAAGCCUUGGGGCUAAUACCCUCGAGGAAGGACAUCACCCACAGAAGAAGCACCGGCUAACUCCGUGCCAGCAGCCGCGGUAAUACGGAGGGUGCGAGCGUUAAUCGGAAUUACUGGGCGUAAAGCGCGCGUAGGCGGUCUGAUAAGCCGGUUGUGAAAGCCCCGGGCUCAACCUGGGAACGGCAUCCGGAACUGUCCGGCUAGAGGUCGGGAGAGGAAGGUAGAAUUCCCGGUGUAGCGGUGAAAUGCGUAGAGAUCGGGAGGAAUACCAGUGGCGAAGGCGGCCUUCUGGACUGACACUGACGCUGAGGUGCGAAAGCGUGGGUAGCAAACAGGAUUAGAUACCCCGGUAGUC